RNAcentral lists this small nuclear RNA (22 nucleotides) under Arabidopsis thaliana (thale cress). RNAcentral describes it as "snRNA_07903". The record is from RNAcentral. Lineage: Eukaryota; Viridiplantae; Streptophyta; Magnoliopsida; Brassicales; Brassicaceae.
AUUGAGUUUCCAGAGUCGUACG